UGCCCUCUCGUCCAAUGGCAGGACAGCUGAUUCUGGAUCAGCCGAUCGUGGUUCGAAUCCACGGGGGGCAACCA
Molecule: transfer RNA, 74 nt
Filed under: Candidatus Omnitrophota bacterium
Lineage: Bacteria; Pseudomonadati; Candidatus Omnitrophota
Description: tRNA-Gln
Rfam family: tRNA
About the family: Transfer RNA (tRNA) molecules are approximately 80 nucleotides in length. Their secondary structure includes four short double-helical elements and three loops (D, anti-codon, and T loops).
Source: RNAcentral